RNAcentral lists this ribosomal RNA (440 nucleotides) under uncultured bacterium. Its description in RNAcentral is "partial 16S ribosomal RNA". It matches the Rfam family "Bacterial small subunit ribosomal RNA", at positions 338 to 795 of the family's 1533-position model. The record is from RNAcentral.
CCUACGGGAGGCUGCAGUGGGGGAUAUUGCACAAUGGGGGGAACACUGAUGCAGCGACGCCGCGUGGGUGAAGAAGCGCCUCGGCGCGUAAAGCCCUGUCAGCAGGGAAGAAAAUGACGGUACCUGAAGCAGAAGCCCCGGCUAACUACGUGACAGCAGCCGCGGUAAUACGUAGGGGGCAAGCGUUAUCCGGAUUUACUGGGUGUAAAGGGGGCGCAGACGGCGAUGCAAGCCAGGAGUGAAAGCCCGGGGCCCAACCCCGGGACUGCUGUUGGAACUGCGGGGCUGGAGUGCAGGAGGGGCAGGCGGAAUGCCUGGUGUAGCGGUGAAAUGCGUAGAUAUCAGGAGGAACACCGGUGGCGAAGGCGGCCUGCUGGACUGCAACUGACGUUGAGGCCCGAAAGCGUGGGGAGCAAACAGGAUUAGAUACCCUAGUAGUC